RNAcentral lists this ribosomal RNA (491 nucleotides) under Symbiodinium sp. HI-S01. RNAcentral describes it as "eukaryotic LSU rRNA". It matches the Rfam family "Eukaryotic large subunit ribosomal RNA", at positions 163 to 613 of the family's 3401-position model. The record is from RNAcentral. Lineage: Eukaryota; Dinophyceae; Suessiales; Symbiodiniaceae.
GCUAUCGGUGGCUCGAGGGUAAGCCUCUUGGAAUAGAGCGUAAACUUGGGUGAGAAUCCUUUGUUUCGCUCGGUGUCCGCUGUGUACGGCGCAUGUUCUCANAGUCACGUUCCUCGGACUUGGAGCGUAAAUUAGGUGGUAGAUUUCAUCUAAAGCUAAAUAAAGGCCCAAGACCGAUAGCGAACAAGUACCAUGAGGGAAAGAUGAAAAGGACUUUGGAAAGAGAGUUAAAAGUGCUUGAAAUCGCUGGAAGGGAAGCGAAUGCAACCACACUCUCUGCUGAGAUUGCCGCGGGCGCUUGCAAGCUCUGAGCUCANAANCNCAAGCUCUGUGUUUGGCUGUGCGCGGGCGCUCGUGGUGUUUCUUAGUGAAGAUAUCAGGUGUCACGUACGUUCGAACAGGGCCUUGAGCAUGCAUUUGUCGCUCGNGAGCGAUAUCCUGUGCUCCGUGGGAUUCGGACAUAUGUGGCUUACUGAUUCAGUGGUUUUUUU